AUUGAACGCUGGCGGCAUGCUUUACACAUGCAAGUCGAACGGCAGCGGGGAGGAGCUUGCUUCUCUGCCGGCGAGUGGCGCACGGGUGAGUCAUACAUCGGAACGUGUCGAGAAGAGGGGGAUAACCACCCGAAAGGGUGGCUAAUACCGCAUAAAUUCUGAGGCAGAAAGCUGGGGACCUGGGAAUAGGCCUAGCGCUUUUUGAGCGGCCGAUGUCGGAUUAGCUAGUUGGUGAGGUAAAGGCUCACCAAGGCGAAGAUCUGUAGCGGGUCUGAGAGGAUGAUCCGCCACACUGGGACUGAGACACGGCCCAGACUCCUACGGGAGGCAGCAGUGGGGAAUUUUGGACAAUGGGGGCAACCCUGAUCCAGCCAUGCCGCGUGUAUGAAGAAGGCCUUAGGGUUGUAAAGUACUUUUGUUAGGGAAGAAAAGUCAGCUGUGAAUAAUGGCUGAUACUGACGGUACCUAAAGAAUAAGCACCGGCUAACUACGUA
This 494-nucleotide ribosomal RNA is filed under the name uncultured bacterium. Its description in RNAcentral is "partial 16S ribosomal RNA". It matches the Rfam family "Bacterial small subunit ribosomal RNA", at positions 30 to 507 of the family's 1533-position model. The record is from RNAcentral.